Molecule: long non-coding RNA, 1119 nt
Filed under: Androctonus crassicauda
Lineage: Eukaryota; Metazoa; Arthropoda; Arachnida; Scorpiones; Buthidae
Source: RNAcentral
AAAUAAGUUCUUCGCGGACCGCUCAAAUUUCUCCGCGGACCAGUGCCGGUCCGCUGGACCAGCGGUUGAGAAACGCUGAUAUAGAGUGUUUCUUGAAUAAGAACUUUAAGUAUUAGAGCAAUAUUCAGCAACUGUUACCGAGGCAGGCAUCAUACAGUUGGGACAGUGUUACUAUGAUUGUCAUUAAUUACAUUAAAAUAUCUCAAUCUAUUUGAUAUUACCAGGGAUUUCAAAAUGAAUCCUUCCUUUAGAUAGUUGCAGUUUUUAAUAGUCCUAGCAUUUUUCUAAUCUGUUUUCAUAUUAAACUCAUAAUCUUUGUGGAGAGCAUAGUUGCAUUAUUAUCUAAACAUAUGUCUUUUUUAUGCCCAGUGAUACGAUCAUCUAAGUUUUCUGCUUGUCACAUCAAUAUACUCCUCUUAGCAAUCAAAAUCAUAGUUAUAUAUUGGGAUAUAAUAGGUCCCCAAUUUUUUCCUUUAAUUCAUACCUCUGCUUAUCAUCUGUCUAUUCUAAAGAGUUGGAUAUCUUGUUGCAAUUUUGUCAUUAAUCUUCUUUGCUAUGUUUCUUAUAAUGUUGAGGUUUGAGAUAUCAUGUGGAAAUUUGAUAGACUGCAUGUGUUCCUCAGAUGGGUACAUCUGAUGUUUUUAACUUGUUUACAUAGGAUCAGAGUUAAUCUUUCUUUUAACUUCAUCAUAAAUCUUUUUCAUAAAUUAUAGGUAUACCCAUGCUAUUUUUUUUUUGCAAUAAUAUUUCUAAAUUCAGCAUGUAGCUAGGAUUAAUCAAACAGUGAUUAAAUAUCCUACAAAAAACAGAACAGAAAAUAGCUUUUUUUUAAACUUCAUAGUAUCAUAAAAUCAAGUUAGUAUUAAAACAGAUUUGUAUAUUGCCUUUCUAAAGAAAGGCAACAUACAAACCUGUAUCAGAAUGAUUGCCUAUAUGUCAGUGGUGGCCAACUUUCGUGUCAUUACGAGCCAUAUAGGAAAUUUCAAAUAGUUGAGAGCCUCUUUCUGGGUCAGUGAGGCUCACAUCAAUUUUUUCGGGUAAUCUUAAUAGUGGUUUCAAAAAUUGUUUAUUAUAUAUUUUACAUGCAUUUAUUUCCUAUAUAGAUGCAUACUACUUUUU